GACGAACGCUGGCGGCGUGCUUAACACAUGCAAGUCGAGCGGUAAGGCCCUUUCGGGGGUACACGAGCGGCGAACGGGUGAGUAACACGUGGGUGACCUGCCCUCAGCUCUGGGAUAAGCCUGGGAAACCGGGUCUAAUACUGGAUAUGACUCCAUGACGCAUGUUGUGGGGUGGAAAGCCUUGUGCGGCUGAGGAGUGGGCCCGCGACCUAUCAGCUUGUUGGUGGGGUGANGGCCUACCAAGGCGACGACGGGUAGCCGGCCUGAGAGGGCGACCGGCCACACUGGGACUGAGACACGGCCCAGACUCCUACGGGAGGCAGCAGUGGGGAAUCUUGCGCAAGUGGGCGAAAGCCUGACGCAGCGACGCCGCGUGAGGGAUGACGGCCU
This 390-nucleotide ribosomal RNA is filed under the name uncultured bacterium. RNAcentral's name for it is "bacterial SSU rRNA". It matches the Rfam family "Bacterial small subunit ribosomal RNA", at positions 28 to 417 of the family's 1533-position model. The record is from RNAcentral.